This 264-nucleotide ribosomal RNA is filed under the name Serratia proteamaculans. Its description in RNAcentral is "partial 16S ribosomal RNA". It matches the Rfam family "Bacterial small subunit ribosomal RNA", at positions 873 to 1136 of the family's 1533-position model. Lineage: Bacteria; Pseudomonadati; Pseudomonadota; Gammaproteobacteria; Enterobacterales; Yersiniaceae. The record is from RNAcentral.
CUGGGGAGUACGGCCGCAAGGUUAAAACUCAAAUGAAUUGACGGGGGCCCGCACAAGCGGUGGAGCAUGUGGUUUAAUUCGAUGCAACGCGAAGAACCUUACCUACUCUUGACAUCCACAGAAUUCGGCAGAGAUGCCUUAGUGCCUUCGGGAACUGUGAGACAGGUGCUGCAUGGCUGUCGUCAGCUCGUGUUGUGAAAUGUUGGGUUAAGUCCCGCAACGAGCGCAACCCUUAUCCUUUGUUGCCAGCACGUAAUGGUGGGA